RNAcentral lists this transfer RNA (76 nucleotides) under Porphyromonas uenonis 60-3. Its description in RNAcentral is "tRNA-Gln". It matches the Rfam family "tRNA". From Rfam's summary of the family: Transfer RNA (tRNA) molecules are approximately 80 nucleotides in length. Their secondary structure includes four short double-helical elements and three loops (D, anti-codon, and T loops). The record is from RNAcentral. Lineage: Bacteria; Pseudomonadati; Bacteroidota; Bacteroidia; Bacteroidales; Porphyromonadaceae.
UUGUCCUAUGGUGUAAUGGUAGCACAACAGAUUCUGGUCCUGUUUGUCAAGGUUCGAAUCCUUGUAGGACAACUAC